This 253-nucleotide ribosomal RNA is filed under the name uncultured bacterium. RNAcentral's name for it is "partial 16S ribosomal RNA". It matches the Rfam family "Bacterial small subunit ribosomal RNA", at positions 524 to 776 of the family's 1533-position model. The record is from RNAcentral.
UACGUAGGAUGCAAGCGUUAUCCGGAAUGAUUGGGUUUAAAGCGUGUGUAGGCGGUUUAUUAAGUUAACUGUCAAAGCGUAGGGCUUAACCAGACACCUGCCAUUGAUACUGAAAGACUUGAGUGCGACAGAGGGUGUUGGAAUGUGAGGUGUAGCGGUGAAAUGCUUAGAGAUCGCGAAGAACACCAAUUGCGAAAGCACAUGCCUAUGUCGUAACUGACGCUGAGACACGAAAGCUAGGGGAGCAAACGGG